CUUACACAUGCAAGUCGAACGAUGAAGCCCAGCUUGCUGGGUGGAUUAGUGGCGAACGGGUGAGUAACACGUGAGUAACCUGCCCCCGACUCUGGGAUAAGCCCGGGAAACUGGGUCUAAUACCGGAUAUUACCUUUGACCGCAUGGUUGUUGGUGGAAAGAUUUAUCGGUGGGGGAUGGACUCGCGGCCUAUCAGCUUGUUGGUGAGGUAAUGGCUCACCAAGGCGACGACGGGUAGCCGGCCUGAGAGGGUGACCGGCCACACUGGGACUGAGACACGGCCCAGACUCCUACGGGAGGCAGCAGUGGGGAAUAUUGCACAAUGGGCGAAAGCCUGAUGCAGCGACGCCGCGUGAGGGAUGACGGCCUUCGGGUUGUAAACCUCUUUCAGUAGGGAAGAAGCGAAAGUGACGGUACCUGCAGAAGAAGCGCCGGCUAACUACGUGCCAGCAGCCGCGGUAAUACGUAGGGCGCAAGCGUUAUCCGGAUUUAUUGGGCGUAAAGAGCUCGUAGGCGGUUUGUCGCGUCUGCCGUGAAAGUCCGAGGCUCAACCUCGGAUCUGCGGUGGGUACGGGCAGACUAGAGUGAUGUAGGGGAGACUGGAAUUCCUGGUGUAGCGGUGAAAUGCGCAGAUAUCAGGAGGAACACCGAUGGCGAAGGCAGGUCUCUGGGCAUUUACUGACGCUGAGGAGCGAAAGCAUGGGGAGCGAACAGGAUUAGAUACCCUGGUAGUCCAUGCCGUAAACGUUGGGCACUAGGUGUGGGGGACAUUCCACGUUUUCCGCGCCGUAGCUAACGCAUUAAGUGCCCCGCCUGGGGAGUACGGCCGCAAGGCUAAAACUCAAAGGAAUUGACGGGGGCCCGCACAAGCGGCGGAGCAUGCGGAUUAAUUCGAUGCAACGCGAAGAACCUUACCAAGGCUUGACAUGUGCCAGACCGCCUCAGAGAUGGGGUUUCCCUUCGGGGCUGGUUCACAGGUGGUGCAUGGUUGUCGUCAGCUCGUGUCGUGAGAUGUUGGGUUAAGUCCCGCAACGAGCGCAACCCUCGUUCCAUGUUGCCAGCACGUAAAGGUGGGGACUCAUGGGAGACUGCCGGGGUCAACUCGGAGGAAGGUGGGGAUGACGUCAAAUCAUCAUGCCCCUUAUGUCUUGGGCUUCACGCAUGCUACAAUGGCCGGUACAAUGGGUUGCGAUACUGUGAGGUGGAGCUAAUCCCUAAAAGCCGGUCUCAGUUCGGAUUGGGGUCUGCAACUCGACCCCAUGAAGUCGGAGUCGCUAGUAAUCGCAGAUCAGCAACGCUGCGGUGAAUACGUUCCCGGGCCUUGUACACACCGCCCGUCAAGUCACGAAAGUUGGUAACACCCGAAGCCGAUGGCCUAACCACCUUGUGUGGGGGAGUCGUCGAA
Molecule: ribosomal RNA, 1405 nt
Filed under: Arthrobacter sp. QHL12
Lineage: Bacteria; Bacillati; Actinomycetota; Actinomycetes; Micrococcales; Micrococcaceae
Description: 16S ribosomal RNA
Rfam family: Bacterial small subunit ribosomal RNA
Source: RNAcentral